This 201-nucleotide long non-coding RNA is filed under the name Salvia miltiorrhiza (redroot sage). Its description in RNAcentral is "long non-coding RNA (SMIL_LNC002712)". The record is from RNAcentral. Lineage: Eukaryota; Viridiplantae; Streptophyta; Magnoliopsida; Lamiales; Lamiaceae.
AGAUCGUCGUCACUUGUAAUCUCAAUGUAGUCAUCAAACUUUUUCUUGGCUACUCUUCUUUUUUUCUUUGGCGGCUCUGUGGGCUGCAACUCCAGCGUAGUUUUUUUUUUCUAGACGGGUUUAUCUUUUUUGAUUUCUCGGGUGAAUGUUUCUUUUCUUCCUCUUGAGUGGGCUCUUCUUCAAUAUCUCCAACAUUGAUGC